RNAcentral lists this unclassified non-coding RNA (462 nucleotides) under Hevea brasiliensis (rubber tree). The record is from RNAcentral. Lineage: Eukaryota; Viridiplantae; Streptophyta; Magnoliopsida; Malpighiales; Euphorbiaceae.
CCCCUUGGUCUCUAUGAUCCGUCAUUUGAUAAGGACUCGUGUGGGGUCGGAUUCGUGGCCGAGCUAUCCGGUGAAAACAGCCGCAAAACGGUGACAGAUGCGCUAGAGAUGUUGAUACGCAUGUCGCAUAGAGGUGCUUGUGGCUGGGGAACCGAAUACCGGGGAUGGAGCUGGGAUUCUUGUAGCUCUUCCUCACCACUUCUACAAGGAGGUUGCUAAGGAUAUCGGGUUCGAGCUGCCGCCACCUGGAGAAUAUGCAGUUGGCAUGUUCUUUUUGCCCACAUCAGACAACCGAAGGGAAGAAAGCAAAAAUGUGUUUACCAAGGUAGCGGAGUCUCUUGGGCAUACAGUCCUUGGCUGGCGACGAGUGCCGACAGACAACUCAGGAUUGGGCAAUACUGCUUUGCAGACUGAACCUGUGGUUGAGCAAGUAUUCCUCACACCUACUCCUAGGUCAAAAGC